This is a long non-coding RNA of Hordeum vulgare subsp. vulgare (domesticated barley), 891 nucleotides long. RefSeq lists it as uncharacterized. Lineage: Eukaryota; Viridiplantae; Streptophyta; Magnoliopsida; Poales; Poaceae. The record is from RefSeq and is a predicted model, not a curated record. The transcript has 4 exons.
ACCCGCCUCCUUACGUACCGCCGCCCUCUCUCUCCCUCUCCCAGAUCCAGAUCGAGGCCACCGACACCUCCGGUGCCCACACCCCUUGUGUCUAUCCUCUCCCUCCGCCUCCGAUGCGGCCGUCUCCUGCCUAGUCCUCGUCCUUCUAUGUCUCCUCAUCCGCCCAGUCCUCGUCCUUCGCUGCGGCCUGCAUGCUGGAGGAAGCUGGCGGCUAGGACGGCCACAGAGCAGAGGGAGGUUGCGGCACACACGCAGGGUGAGGACCAUGCGCGAUCGAUCAACACCACCAGCGGGAGGUUUCAUCCUCCCCCCGACUCGACGCAGCAGCCAAUGCAGGAGGCCGGCAGCAUGGAAGGGAGCACGAUUGGAGGCAGAUCCGGUGGGGACUUCACUGGAUCCGGCCAGGGCGGACCGGAUCCCGACGUCGCGGCUCCAUUUCUGGCGCGAGAGAAUAGUUCCCGGCGACGAACUCACGGAUGGACAGUCGUAGCUGGCGGCUCGCAUUCAUGGCGUUAGGACGACUGCUCGGGAUAGAAGCGCACGGGCGCGACGAGGAGAGGGGCACGGGCAAGGGGCGACCAGCCUGGCUGGCUCUCGUCACGGAUCUGCAGGAGGCCAUCCAAGCCAAGAGAAGUUGUGGACCCUGAAGUCCAAGAAGGCGGUGACGGUGCAGCGGAAGGCCAACCCCUCUUGCAGGAUCUGGUUUGUCUGCAAAGGAAACCUCAUCUGCACUAGGCUCGUGGUGAAGAACUGCAAGGCCGAGCAGGACCUUUCGGGGGUUUCUUAGCAGGCAAGCUACUUUAUGGAUACCUAGGUCAAGCUUGCGGUGGUGAAGGUGAUGAUAUGGGUUUCCUAUCUUCAGAAGUAAAAUGUUUGCUUGCUACCUUCUUU